UCCUACGGACACACCAUCCCGAAAGCGCACAAUCUCGUAAGUGAUCCAGGGCUGGGCCUGGUUUUUACUUGGAUGGGAGACCGCCUGGGAAUACCAGGUGUUGUAGGUU
This 109-nucleotide ribosomal RNA is filed under the name Xenopus laevis (African clawed frog). Lineage: Eukaryota; Metazoa; Chordata; Amphibia; Anura; Pipidae. The record is from RNAcentral.